AAUGGCUGGAUUGGAAACACUGGUAGGAUACAGAGUAGUUACACCUGGUCGACGAAAUAUCGGAAAGAUACGUGGAUACACUUUCAACAUUAACUCGG
This is a non-coding RNA of Cucurbita pepo subsp. pepo (vegetable marrow), 98 nucleotides long. Lineage: Eukaryota; Viridiplantae; Streptophyta; Magnoliopsida; Cucurbitales; Cucurbitaceae. The record is from RefSeq and is a predicted model, not a curated record.